RNAcentral lists this transfer RNA (58 nucleotides) under Apaloderma vittatum (bar-tailed trogon). It matches the Rfam family "tRNA", at positions 8 to 63 of the family's 71-position model. From Rfam's summary of the family: Transfer RNA (tRNA) molecules are approximately 80 nucleotides in length. Their secondary structure includes four short double-helical elements and three loops (D, anti-codon, and T loops). Lineage: Eukaryota; Metazoa; Chordata; Aves; Trogoniformes; Trogonidae. The record is from Rfam by way of RNAcentral.
UAGCUCAGUCAGUUGAGCAUGGCGCUAACAAUGCCAAGGUCGCGGGUUCAAUUCCCAC